RNAcentral lists this ribosomal RNA (441 nucleotides) under uncultured bacterium. RNAcentral's name for it is "partial 16S ribosomal RNA". It matches the Rfam family "Bacterial small subunit ribosomal RNA", at positions 338 to 795 of the family's 1533-position model. The record is from RNAcentral.
CCUACGGGAGGCAGCAGUGGGGGAUAUUGCACAAUGGGGGGAACCCUGAUGCAGCGAUGCCGCGUGGGUGAAGGAGUGCUUCGGCAUGUAAAGCCCUAUCGGCAGGGAAGAAGCAAGACGGUACCUUACUAAGAAGCCCCUGCUAACUACGUGCCAGAAGCCGCGGUAAUACGUAGGGGGCGAGCGUUAUCCGGAGUCACUGGGUGUAAAGGGAGCGUAGACGGGCAUGCAAGCCAGGGGUGAAAGCUCGGGGCCCAACCCCGGGACUGCCGUUGGAACUGUGCGGCCAGAGUGCGGGAGAGGCAGGCGGAAUGCGUGGUGUAGCGGUGAAAUGCGUAGAUAUCGGGAGGAACACCGGCGGCGAAGGCGGCCUGCUGGACUGCGACUGACGUUGAGGCUCGAAAGCGUGGGGAGCGAACAGGAUUAGAUACCCCAGUAGUC